Molecule: ribosomal RNA, 447 nt
Filed under: uncultured bacterium
Lineage: Bacteria
Description: bacterial SSU rRNA
Rfam family: Bacterial small subunit ribosomal RNA
Source: RNAcentral
CACCAGACUCCUACGGGAGGCAGCAGUGGGGAAUAUUGCACAAUGGGGGAAACCCUGAUGCAGCAACGCCGCGUGAGUGAAGAAGUAUUUCGGUAUGUAAAGCUCUAUCAGCAGGGAAGGAGAUGACGGUACCUGAUUAAGAAGCCCCGGCUAACUACGUGCCAGCAGCCGCGGUAAUACGUAGGGGGCAAGCGUUAUCCGGAUUUACUGGGUGUAAAGGGAGCGCAGACGGCAGUGCAAGUCUGGAGUGAAAGCCCGGGGCCCAACCCCGGAACUGCUUUGGAAACUGUGCGGCUGGAGUGCAGGAGGGGUAAGCGGAAUUCCUAGUGUAGCGGUGAAAUGCGUAGAUAUUAGGAGGAACACCAGUGGCGAAGGCGGCUUACUGGACUGUAACUGACGUUGAGGCUCGAAAGCGUGGGGAGCAAACAGGAUUAGAUACCCCAGUAC